UACGUAGGUGGCGAGCGUUAUCCGGAUUUACUGGGCGUAAAGCGCGUGCAGGCGGUUUUGCAAGUCGGAUGUCAAAUCUCUCGGCUUAACUGAGAGUCGUCGUUCGAAACUGUAAGACUUGAGGUUGGGAGAGGAAAGCGGAAUUCCCGGUGUAGUGGUGGAAUGCGUAGAUAUCGGGAGGAACACCUGUGGCGAAAGCGGCUUUCUGGCCCACACCUGACGCUAAGACGCGAAAGCGUGGGGAGCGAACAGG
Molecule: ribosomal RNA, 253 nt
Filed under: uncultured bacterium
Lineage: Bacteria
Description: partial 16S ribosomal RNA
Rfam family: Bacterial small subunit ribosomal RNA
Source: RNAcentral